Molecule: transfer RNA, 69 nt
Filed under: Allobates aff. magnussoni AR-2020
Lineage: Eukaryota; Metazoa; Chordata; Amphibia; Anura; Aromobatidae
Description: tRNA-His
Rfam family: tRNA
About the family: Transfer RNA (tRNA) molecules are approximately 80 nucleotides in length. Their secondary structure includes four short double-helical elements and three loops (D, anti-codon, and T loops).
Source: RNAcentral
GUGCACAUAGUUUAAAAAAAAUUCUAGCCUGUGAUUCUAGAAAUGAGAGCUAACUCCCCUCUGUUCACC